GAAAAAGGGUCAUAACGGAAGAAAAAAAAGUUCAAGGAUGAGGUUGUACAAACCUAAAAGAUGACCCGAAGGGAGAAUCGAGAAAUUGAACAAGAGCCAAGUACCAAUUGGGAGCCAUAAUGGAGUGACGGAGAAAGAAAAUGAAGAAAAGAGGGCAAAUGGAAGAAGAUCGUGAUUGAGAACCAAAACGCAUCAAUUGAAAGGUUGGUUCUACCAUGCGGUCGCAUGGUAGAAAAGGGCUUGCGGUUGCACAAGAGUACACAGGGAAUUCAAAAGCCAAAACUGGGUAAACCAUACGGUCGCAUGGCUUAAUACCAUGCGGUCGCAAGAUUACGACUAAAGUGCGAUUUUUCCAAUUUUCGUACGAGCCACCCAUCCCAUUCCCACAAAGGUUGAAGAAACAUAAGCUGGAUCAAGAGUUUGAGAAGUUUCUGGAUGUGCUAAAGAAACACCACAUCAAUAUCCCGUUCAUCAACACAAUAAGAUAGAUUCCAAGCUAUGUAAAAUUCUUGAAAGACAUGAUAUCAAAGAAGAGAGCUUCCAAAAUUUGAAACUGUGGCACUAACAGAGGAAAGCAGUGCAAUGCUUCAAAACAAACUGUCUUCAAAACUCAAGGAUCCAGGGAGUUUCACUUUACCUAUUUCAAUUGGAGAAGUUGGAUCUUUCAAUGCUUUAUAUGAUACAGGUACAAGUGUUAACUUAAUGUCUUUAUUUGUUUACAGAAAAUCGGGAUUAGGAGAUGCAAAAGAAAAUGACGAUGUUAUUGUAGCUGGCCAAUAGAAGCAUUAAAUAUCCAAGAGGCAAGGUUGAAGAUAUGCUACUAAAAGUGGGCAAAUUGAUAUUUCCGUUAAACUUCAUUGUCCUGGACAUGAAGAAGACAGGAAUAUUCCAAUAAUCUUAAGGCGACCAUUCUUAGCAAUUGGUUGAACUUUGAUUGAUAUGGAGAAAUGUGGGCUAACAUUGAGAGUGGAUGAGGAACAAGAAGUCUUUUAAGUUACAUGAUACAUCCAAACAACCAUUAGGUCUCGAGGAGUGUAACUGCAUCGAUGAAGAUGAACCAGGAAUUCAACAAAACUGUCAGAAGCAAAAACAAAACGAUGUAAGGACAAAAAUUGCAAGGAGUGCAAGGGUGAAACAUUUAGAUUUAAACCGCCAUAAGCAUACCACCCAAAAAGUCGAAUUAUUGACUAUAAACUAAUGCUGGUUGGGAGGCAACCCAAUGUAUCCACCCUUUUGUUUUUCGCUUUAUGCAUUGGAUUAGGAAUUGCAUUUUUUUAUUAUUCAUAAGUAGUUUAGGUCAUUACCAUUCAGUUACAUCACAAAAGGUCAUUGCAUGGUCCUAGCUAGUUUAAAAUGUGUCUAGUAUGAGUGGUGUUGUGUUGAAUUCAUGCUAGGGUGACUAGGCGUUCAAUUCAUGCAUUUCGAGGCCAAAAGGAGGAUGCGGGCCCCAAUUUUCCACCACCACCUCCAUGCUAAUCAGGGGAGUUCCUGUUACCCACCUUGACCUUUUCUUUUCUUAAUGUGUUUUAUUCUUCGAAUUAUGCCUGCACCCAACCUCUAUUUAAUUUCAACAUUGAGGACAAUAUUUUAAUAUGUUUAGGAGAGCAGCAUAAUUCUAGCAUAUUUAUUCAUCAAUAUCUGUUCAAUUUUACUGCUCUUUGUGUGACUAUAUGUGUGUUAAAAACUUAAAUAAAAAAAUUUCGAUUUUUAUUUAAUUCCCAUAGCUAUUUUUAACUGUUUUGUAUGCUUGUGUGGGCUUGAUUUCUUUGAUGGCUAUGACGAGAAUAUUGAAAUAAGUAUGCAUAGGAGCUGAGAAUUUGGUGCAGGAUUUGAUUCACUUAUACGUGUGGAUGUGACACUUGACAUUCUUUGCACAGACUCCCAUGCUCUACAUAUUAGGUUAGUGAUUGGAUAUUUGAAGACAAAGUCGGAUAAAACCUAUAAUACUCUUUAAUGCAUUAAACCCUAAACCACUUUACAUAAUUUGGAGAUGGUAGAGUGAUUACAGGGGAGCUUUGAGAUAAAAAAAAAAAAAAAAAAAAAGGUUCCGUACAUGAAUGUAUAUUGUGUGGAUAGCCUAGAUCACUAAGAUGAAGAUUAGGUGAAAAUCUUGAGUUGAGGGCCAGUUUUAGAAGAUGAAUGUCUAGAAAAACCAAAGGGGGGCAUACAAAUUGAUUUGAGUAUAGAUAAUAAUUCUCUCAAAUCUUUUAUGACUCAAGCAAAUAAGCUUGUAAGAAUAUUUUGAAAUCUGGUGCCCUAAAGCCAACUGGUUUAGGAGUCACCGACCUAAAGCUGGCUACCGGGGUCAUAUAGAAAGCAAAAAGGGGAGGAAUAAGUUAAAAGUCAUCUGAUUGAGCCUUUAUAACCCGAGUGAAUAAGCCUGCAAGUGUUUAAAACCUGAUUUCCUAAGGCCAAUUGGUUUGGGAGUCACCGACCUAAAGCUCGUUACAAGGGUUAUAUAGAAAGCAAAUGAGAAGAUGACAAAAAAAAAAUCAUCAAAGAAUAAGAGAGCAAAAACACAACAUAACACGAAGAAAGCCCUUGGACAUUUGGUUUAUAAAACUACACUUUUGAUGCAAGGCAAGUAACUUAAUUUAGUCUUAGGGGUUGAAGCAAUCAAAAUGGAGAACUUCUACUUGUUGACAUGUGACUUUGUAAUAGUGAAAUCUUUCCAAGCUAAAAAGGGCAAGGAAACUCUUAACUUUAGAACACACUUCAGGAUAAUUAAGUGAAAAGACUAAGUUUGGGGGGUGUGUAUCUCUCGAGCGAAGAAAGGAUAUAUUUGAUCACUACGGGUUGGGAUUCGCCCAAUCAUGAGCCUGAUAUGCUGGCAUGAGUUCACACACACACGUUGAGUUUUGCAUCUAACAGGUAAUGGUUGAUUUUAUUCCUGUGUUAAUUACUGAAUUCCAAUCCUGAAACACGGCAUAUUGUCAAGCCAUAUUUUGUUUAGAGUUAAGUCACUAUCAUGUUUGAGGACAAACGAGAGUUCAAGUUUGGAGUGUUUGAUAAGUGCAUUUUUACACUCUUAUUUGACCACAAAACAUGAUUAAUUGUUAAUAAAUGUGUGUGAAUAUGACUUAGUUUUAUAAAAUUUUGUUUUGUAGGAUUUCAUUGAUGAAUAUGACAUAACUUAAGAGAAAAGACACAAAAAAGGGGCCAAAAUGGAAGAAAACAAAAGUUUAGGGAUCAAGUUGCACAAACCCAAAAGAUGACCGAAAGGAGAAUCGAGAAAUUGAACGAGCCAAGUACCAAUUGGGAGCAAUAAUGGAGUGAUGGAGCAAGAAGAAUGAAGAAAAGAGGGCAAAAUGGAAGAAGAACGAGAUUGAGGACCAAAACACAUCAAUUGAAAGGUUGGCUCUACCAUGGGGUCGCAUGGUAGAAAAGGGCUUGCGGUCGCACAAGAGCACACAGGAAAUUUAAAAGCCAAAACUUGGAAACCAUGCAGUUGCAUGGUUAUGACUGAAGCGCGAUUUUUCGAGUUUACUUAUACGAACAAAACUCUUAUGGAAACCUAAUUGUGACACGAUAUAAAAACCCAAAACCAUCCAUAACAAAGGGGGAGCCACAUUAUACACUAUUUUUGAGGAUUUGAAGAGCAAGAACACGGCAGAAACGAAGGGAUUCAUUCCAAGAUUCAAGAUUUCAACUCAAGAAUUAAUUGGGUGAUGUUCUUCCGUGAUUUUAAUUGUUGUUCUUUUCUUCCAUUCAUGUGUAGUUAAAUUUUCAUGUGUUAGGAGAUCGAUUAACCAUGUAAUGUAAUCUUUGGAUUUCUAGCUUUACAUAAUUGACAUUUGAACACAUUAUUGAAU
This 3812-nucleotide long non-coding RNA is filed under the name Olea europaea subsp. europaea. The record is from RNAcentral. Lineage: Eukaryota; Viridiplantae; Streptophyta; Magnoliopsida; Lamiales; Oleaceae.